GAGUAACCUGCCCUUGACUCUGGGAUAAGCCUGGGAAACUGGGUCUAAUACCGGAUAUGACCAUCUGACGCAUGUCAUGGUGGUGGAAAGCUUUUGUGGUUUUGGAUGGACUCGCGGCCUAUCAGCUUGUUGGUGGGGUAAUGGCCUACCAAGGCGACGACGGGUAGCCGGCCUGAGAGGGUGACCGGCCACACUGGGACUGAGACACGGCCCAGACUCCUACGGGAGGCAGCAGUGGGGAAUAUUGCACAAUGGGCGGAAGCCUGAUGCAGCGACGCCGCGUGAGGGAUGACGGCCUUCGGGUUGUAAACCUCUUUCAGUAGGGAAGAAGCGAAAGUGACGGUACCUGCAGAAGAAGCGCCGGCUAACUACGUGCCAGCAGCCGCGGUAAUACGUAGGGCGCAAGCGUUAUCCGGAAUUAUUGGGCGUAAAGAGCUCGUAGGCGGUUUGUCGCGUCUGCUGUGAAAGACCGGGGCUCAACUCCGGUUCUGCAGUGGGUACGGGCAGACUAGAGUGCAGUAGGGGAGACUGGAAUUCCUGGUGUAGCGGUGAAAUG
This 556-nucleotide ribosomal RNA is filed under the name Arthrobacter sp. y6. RNAcentral describes it as "bacterial SSU rRNA". It matches the Rfam family "Bacterial small subunit ribosomal RNA", at positions 119 to 688 of the family's 1533-position model. The record is from RNAcentral. Lineage: Bacteria; Bacillati; Actinomycetota; Actinomycetes; Micrococcales; Micrococcaceae.